AUGCCAGGACAGUCAGACGGUGUCCCCAGUCUGCAGAAAAAGCCACAGGAGCUGCUGCUGACACAGCUGCUCUGGGCCGGGGGGACUUCAUCCCAACAAGGCACUGCUAUUUUUCUUUCUAAAGACUUCUCUUUGAAAAAUAAAGUGUCAAGCCUAGGUGAGAGAGGCAAGGCGGCAGGAUGCAGCUCUGCCUCACUGCAGGGCUUGCUGGCCGCAGACGCAGACGCCGGGCAGCAUCCUCCUGCAGCAUCCCAGCCCUGCAGCCCAGCAAGGGCUGGCCUCUGGGGACCUCAUCCUGCUUCUGCCCAAAGCUCUGCCUUAGCUCUGGGGUCCCCAGCCCUGGGUGCCCUCUCCCGGCACUGGAGACCCCUGAAUCCCAGUACCUCUCCUAGCUCUGGGGGGUCCCCUGCAUCCUGGUGUCCUCCUGGCUCUGGGGGUUCCCCAGAUCCCGGUACCUUUCCUGGCUCUGGGGGUUCCCCGGAUCCCGGUACCUCUCCUGGCUCUGGGGGUUCCCCGGCUCUCUGUCGGCACUCUCCGAUGCCCUGGUGCCCCAGUGCCCCCCCGGGACACACUGUCGCCCCUUCUCCCCAGCCCCCCCCGGUGCCCGGUGUCCCUGACCGCCUCCGUUCCCCCGGUCCCCCCGGUGCCCCCGGUGCCCCGGUGCCGCUCACCUUGAAGCUCGGCGGGCCGCGCAGGUCGCCGGAGCCCAGGCACAGCAGGAGGAUGCCCAGGAGGCAGCCGAGGGCGAGGAGCAGCAGGACGGCGGCGACCCGGCGGGCCAUGGCGGAGCGGCCGCGGUGCCGGGCGGGCGCUGCCGCGGCUCGGCGGGCGGCGGCGGCAGGUGAGCGGCAGCGGCGGCGGCGGCGGCUCCUGCUGCUGCUGCGGCUGCUCCUCCUCCUCCCCCGCCUCUCCCGGCUGAGUCACCGCCGCCCCGGCCCAGCCGGGCGGGACACCGGGCCCAGCCGAGCCGCGGGGAGCCGGCACCGGGCAUCGCCCCUGCCCUGGGGCUCAGCCCUGUCCUGUCCCUCCCAGGGCAUCAACCCUGCCCUGUCCCUGCCCCAGGGUUCAGCCCUGUCCUGUUCCCCCUGGGCAUUGCCCCUGUCCAGGCUCAGCCCUGUCCUGUCCCCUCCCAGGCAUCACCCCUGGUCCCAGCUCAGCCUCAUCCUGCCCCCGCAGGCAUUGCCCCUGCCCCUGUCUGGACUCAGCCCAGUCCUGCCACCCCCCUGCAGUCAUCACCCCUUCUCUGACCUCAGCCCUGCCCUGCCCCAGGCAGGCAUCACCUACCCUGGACUGAACCCUGUCCUGCCUCUCUGCACAUCAUCCCCGCCCUGA
This 1332-nucleotide long non-coding RNA is filed under the name Apteryx haastii (Great spotted kiwi). RNAcentral's name for it is "lncRNA (ENSAHAG00000017605.1)". Lineage: Eukaryota; Metazoa; Chordata; Aves; Apterygiformes; Apterygidae. The record is from RNAcentral.